Molecule: long non-coding RNA, 463 nt
Filed under: Notechis scutatus (mainland tiger snake)
Lineage: Eukaryota; Metazoa; Chordata; Lepidosauria; Squamata; Elapidae
Description: lncRNA (ENSNSUG00000020009.1)
Source: RNAcentral
AAAAGAGAAGCAUAUUUUAGAUCUUUCAGUUCAGCUUCAGCAAGAAAAAGCUAAUGUACAAAAAACAUACCGCCAUUCUGAAGCAAUACAAACAGUACAAAUUCAUCUACAAUCUCAGGUAGAGAAAAAAGAGGAAGAAAAUAAUCAACUAAGAGCAAAAUUUCAGACGAUGGAGAAGAAUAUUGCUGAAUGGAAGAGACAAGUUGGUGAAUAUAAGCAGAACAUUUUGGCUGAAAAGAAAAGAAAAGUGGAACGGAGGAAUGCCCUGAAAAGAGCAGUUGUUGUUCAGAAACAAAGAGCUGAAAACAUGAAAGUGGUUGUUGAAAACCUCUUUUCAAAAAUUAAGGAAAAGGAAAUCCAGUUGUCUGAGGUAUUUUCAGCUUCUAAUAUCUGGAAAAGUCAUCACGAGAUCAUAAUAGAGGAAAAAAUCAAGUUAGAAGUCCAGGUUGAAACUCUAAAAAAG